This 756-nucleotide ribosomal RNA is filed under the name Klebsiella ornithinolytica. Its description in RNAcentral is "bacterial LSU rRNA". It matches the Rfam family "Bacterial large subunit ribosomal RNA", at positions 2192 to 2925 of the family's 2925-position model. The record is from RNAcentral. Lineage: Bacteria; Pseudomonadati; Pseudomonadota; Gammaproteobacteria; Enterobacterales; Enterobacteriaceae.
UUGAAAUACCACCCUUUAAUGUUUGAUGUUCUAACGUAGACCCGUGAUCCGGGUUGCGGACAGUGUCUGGUGGGUAGUUUGACUGGGGCGGUCUCCUCCCAAAGAGUAACGGAGGAGCACGAAGGUUAGCUAAUCCUGGUCGGACAUCAGGAGGUUAGUGCAAUGGCAUAAGCUAGCUUGACUGCGAGCGUGACGGCGCGAGCAGGUGCGAAAGCAGGUCAUAGUGAUCCGGUGGUUCUGAAUGGAAGGGCCAUCGCUCAACGGAUAAAAGGUACUCCGGGGAUAACAGGCUGAUACCGCCCAAGAGUUCAUAUCGACGGCGGUGUUUGGCACCUCGAUGUCGGCUCAUCACAUCCUGGGGCUGAAGUAGGUCCCAAGGGUAUGGCUGUUCGCCAUUUAAAGUGGUACGCGAGCUGGGUUUAGAACGUCGUGAGACAGUUCGGUCCCUAUCUGCCGUGGGCGCUGGAGAAUUGAGGGGGGCUGCUCCUAGUACGAGAGGACCGGAGUGGACGCAUCACUGGUGUUCGGGUUGUCAUGCCAAUGGCAUUGCCCGGUAGCUAAAUGCGGAAAAGAUAAGUGCUGAAAGCAUCUAAGCACGAAACUUGCCCCGAGAUGAGUUCUCCCUGACUCCUUGAGAGUCCUGAAGGAACGUUGAAGACGACGACGUUGAUAGGUCGGGUGUGUAAGCGUAGCGAUACGUUGAGCUAACCGAUACUAAUGAACCGUGAGGCUUAACCUUACAACGCCGAAGCUGUU